GUGCCAGCAGCCGCGGUAAUACGUAGGGACCAAGCGUUGUUCGGAUUUACUGGGCGUAAAGGGCGCGUAGGCGGCAAAUUAAGUCAGCUGUGAAAUCUCCGAGCUUAACUCGGAACUGUCAGCUGAUACUGAUGUGCUAGAGUGCGGAAGGGGCAAUCGGAAUUCUUGGUGUAGCGGUGAAAUGCGUAGAUAUCAAGAGGAACACCUGAGGUGAAGACGGGUUGCUGGGCCGACACUGACGCUGAGUGCGCGAAAGCCAGGGGAGCAAACGGGAUUAGAUACCCCGGUAGUCC
This 293-nucleotide ribosomal RNA is filed under the name uncultured bacterium. RNAcentral's name for it is "partial 16S ribosomal RNA". It matches the Rfam family "Bacterial small subunit ribosomal RNA", at positions 505 to 796 of the family's 1533-position model. The record is from RNAcentral.